Girardinichthys multiradiatus is the source of this 871-nucleotide long non-coding RNA. RefSeq lists it as uncharacterized. The transcript is spliced from 3 exons. Lineage: Eukaryota; Metazoa; Chordata; Actinopteri; Cyprinodontiformes; Goodeidae. The record is from RefSeq and is a predicted model, not a curated record.
AAGAGUCAUCGCAGAGUUCUCUGCAUAAGUUCUGAUGCUGCUCAGGUCUGUGUAUUUGGACCUGCAGUAAGACUGAGCGUCCGACCAGGUCAUCUUCUGGUCCACCAGGACGUUAUGGAGAGCUUCACCUGUUGAUAAACAAAUCAGAAAUAUUAAAUUCAACAAGGUGCAAUGGUCAAAAGAAAGAAAAUCAGCACAUUUUAUAAUGAAAAUAUUCUUAAAGUACAUUUUCUUUUAAUUCAGAGGAGCAUCUAUGAAUAGCCAGUAUCUUCCCUGCAGGGGACAGUGGUCUCGGUUUGGAGAAUCAGGGAGGAAUUCUUAUGCAAAGAGGAAAUCUGAGCAGGAUCCAGUCAGAAGAGAUUGGAGGGAUCCUUUUAUGGAAAAAAGAACAUAGUUCUUGUAACCACCUACCUACCCACCACCUUCCUGAAGACUCUUUGGAUCUCACCAUGAUGUUCCCUCUCACUUCAACAGUCAGGAGCACCAAACUAAAGGUCUGAGGUUUAAACAGCACAAACCUCCUUCAAAACAUUGAGUAAUGAUGUUAGAACCCUGAGGACCUCAUAUUAAGACCUCUGUCUGAGGCUUUGCUCAUCUGGAAUGGGAAGAAAGGACAUCCCAAACUUUGCUAAUUUUACAGGAACCGCGACUCUACAAGAACUCAAACAGAGCAGAUGUCAGGAUAAAACCAGAGAGAACAAUGAAACUAAUCCAUGUUGAUCAAUCAGACUCACCUUGAUAACAUAAAAACUGAUGCAGCUCUUCACAGUCAUUGGUGGACCAGGACCCAAAUUUAUUGACUGUCACACAAUUCCCGCCCCGUGGCUCAUAGCUGGACCAUAUGGCGAACAAAGAGCGGGUCGUAUCCUUA